GAGCAGACCGCGUGAGGGAGGAAGACUCUUGGGUUGUAAACCUCUUUUCUCAGGGAAGAAGAACUGACGGUACCUGAGGAAUAAGCAUCGGCUAACUCCGUGCCAGCAGCCGCGGUAAUACGGAGGAUGCAAGCGUUAUCCGGAAUCAUUGGGCGUAAAGCGUCCGCAGGUGGAGUGGUAAGUCUGUUGUCAAAGAACGGGGCUUAACCCCGUAAAGGCGAUGGAAACUGCCACACUAGAGGCUGGUAGGGGUAGAGGGAAUUCCCAGUGUAGCGGUGAAAUGCGUAGAGAUUGGGAAGAACACCAGUGGCGAAAGCGCUCUACUGGACCAGAACUGACACUCAGGGACGAAAGCUAGGGGAGCGAAAGGGAUUAGAUACCCCUGUAGUCCUAGCCGUAAACGAUGGAUACUAGGCGUAGCUCGUAUCGACCCGAGCUGUGCCGAAGCUAACGCGUUAAGUAUCCCGCCUGGGGAAUACGCACGCAAGUGUGAAACUCAAAGGAAUUGACGGGGGCCCGCACAAGCGGUGGAGUAUGUGGUUUAAUUCGAUGCAACGCGAAGAACCUUACCAGGGCUUGACAUCUGGCGAAUCUCGAUGGAAGUUGGGAGUGCCUUAGGGAACGCCAAGACAGGUGGUGCAUGGCUGUCGUCAGCUCGUGUCGUGAGAUGUCGGGUUAAGUCCCGCAACGAGCGCAACCCUCGUCCUUAGUUGCCAGCAUUAAGUUGGGAACUCUAGGGAGACUGCCGGUGACAAACCGGAGGAAGGUGGGGAUGACGUCAAGUCAGCAUGCCCCUUACGCCCUGGGCUACACACGUACUACAAUGGUCGGGACAACGGGCAGCAAGCAGGCAACUGUAAGCGAAUCUCAUCAAACCCGGCCUCAGUUCAGAUUGCAGGCUGCAACUCGCCUGCAUGAAGGAGGAAUCGCUAGUAAUCGCAGGUCAGAAUACUGCGGUGAAUCCGUUCCCGGGCCUUGUACACACCGCCCGUCACACCAUGGGAGCUGGCCACGCCCGAAGUCGUUACUCCAACCUGCAAAGGAGGAGGAUGCCGAAGGCAGGGCUAGUGACUGGGGUGAAGUCGUAACAAGGUAGCCGUACCGGAAGGUG
This 1111-nucleotide ribosomal RNA is filed under the name uncultured cyanobacterium. RNAcentral describes it as "bacterial SSU rRNA". It matches the Rfam family "Bacterial small subunit ribosomal RNA", at positions 389 to 1514 of the family's 1533-position model. Lineage: Bacteria; Bacillati; Cyanobacteriota. The record is from RNAcentral.